Ostrea edulis (European flat oyster) is the source of this 1797-nucleotide long non-coding RNA. RefSeq lists it as uncharacterized. The record is from RefSeq and is a predicted model, not a curated record. NCBI's taxonomy places the organism in Eukaryota, Metazoa, Mollusca, Bivalvia, Ostreida, Ostreidae. The transcript has 3 exons.
UAGAUUUAUAAUUGAUUUGAUAACAUAUUUUUUUAUUUUAAUCUGCAUUUUAUAUUAUACAUUAAUUUGCUAUUAUAUACUAACUUCGGAUAAUUGAAAAUCUUUUGGGGGGUGUAUAACAAAGCAAUUGAAAUGGGCCCUCCAUUGAAUGUGUAAAUUGUAAAAACAACAACACCCAUAUCCUUCUCCCUAUUCUGUGACUAUGUGCUAAUUAGGAGGAGAUAAUGAAGAGCCCCUGGUACACAAUGAGGGCUUCACACUUCAUUUCUGAAGAGAGUCUUGAAGAACCAACGAUGUCAGACAACUGUAUCAAGUGCCAGUGGGUUGGUACGACAUCGACAGGAAGCUAUACACUGUGAACAUUGGCAACACCGAACAUGUAAUUCAGGAAUCAGUAGACAACGGUAUCGGGAACUGGCUAGACAACAGGAGAGUUUUGACUGCAGCUGACUGCUGACUGCAGCGGAACUACAGAUGUUAACUUUGAAACAAAUAAUAUUAAAUUUCACAUUUAACAUGCCUUAUACCACCUUCACACUCACGGAUUUUUCUUACGAGUCCUUACGGAUCUCCGACUCGUAGUCAACCGCAAGCAUUCGUAAAUCACUCGUCGGUAUCCGUUAAUAACUCGCACACACUCGUAGGGAUCCGUGAAAUUAGGGGCAAAUUUUUUGACAUGUCAAAAAAAAUUCACGAUUGUCCACGGAUUUCAUUUUCCGUAAAUAACCCGUAAAUAACUUGUAACAAUCCGUAAGUAUCGUAAACUGAUCGCAAGAACACGUAAACUGCUCGUACAUUUGUAAGAAUCCGUAAAACACUCGUAAAAAUUUUUUUUUUACGAAUCUUUGCUGUUAGUUUACGAUAUGUUACGGAUAGUUUACGAGUUGUUUACGGAUUAUUGCGAAUGUCUAAGUGAUAUUACGUCGGGUUACCAUCGCUUUGCGGAUUGUUCAGAGUCAUUACGAGCACUUUACGUAUAAACACGAUUACUUUACGAGUACAUACUUAAACUUUACGAUUAAGGAAAGGUAUAAAAGACGCAAAAUCUGACAGUUUCUUUCAGUUGUUAUCAAGACAUCAAAGAAGUAACAAAUCUUGAAAACAAUAUACAUACAUGCUGUUACAAGUAAUGUCAGUUGUCGAAUGAUGAUACAAAGCCAAUUGCGAACACUUUUGAGUCAAAAACGUAAACAAUCGUUACUAACUCUUAACUAUUCGUAACAGCACAUUAUCAACACGUUAACAGGUGGUAAUUUACACGUAAAAGCUAAGCUAAAUCGUAAAUUUUCGUAAAAUACUCUUAACAAUCCCUAAAUCGUAAAUGUGUGCCGUAAAUGCAUCGCAAGAACUCGUAAUAAACCGUAAAUGACCCGUAAAUACUUUUAAAACGUUCUUAAACAACUCUUUAAAGUGUCUAAAUCGUAACAAUCCGUUUACUUUUACGGAUUUGUGGAAUACGUAAGGAUGCGUAAGAAAAUUCCGUGAGUGUGAAGGUACCAUUAUCAUUGGUAUGCAAUAUCAUCUAGUGCUUUUUCUUUAUAUAUGUACUGUGUCAGUUGUGUAUUAGUUUUUGUGUUAAUAUACUGGAUCAUCUGUAUUGUAAUAAAAAUAUAGUACAGAAUUAAAAUUGAACAGUGUUCCUUGCUUUAAUGUAAAACUUAAACGGUACCAAUUUUGAUGCACCAGAUUCGCAUUUCAACAAAUAAUGUCCCUUCAGUAAUGCUGAAGCCUAAAACGUUGGAAAUCCGAAAUGAUAAUAAACUUUGAAGAGUUGGAGAAAAAAGAUCGAGUGCCAAU